Molecule: long non-coding RNA, 96 nt
Organism: Haliotis rubra (blacklip abalone)
Lineage: Eukaryota; Metazoa; Mollusca; Gastropoda; Lepetellida; Haliotidae
Exons: 3
Source: RefSeq, a predicted model, not a curated record
GUCGUCUCAGCUGUGGUCGUGGUCUCCUUUACUGUCGUAUCAUCUAGUCAUGAUCUCCUUUACUGUCGUAUCAGCUGUGGUCGUGGUCUCCUUUAC